Molecule: ribosomal RNA, 467 nt
Filed under: uncultured bacterium
Lineage: Bacteria
Description: bacterial SSU rRNA
Rfam family: Bacterial small subunit ribosomal RNA
Source: RNAcentral
CCUACGGGGGGCUGCAGUCGAGAAUAGUCUACAAUGGCCGAAAGGCUGAUAGUGCGACGCCGCGUGAACGAAGAAGCCCUUCGGGGUGUAAAGUUCUUUUAUAUGUGAGCAAUGCCUUUUAUGUGAAUAGCAUGAGAGGAGCGAUAUUAGCAUAUGAAUAAGCAACGGCUAACUCCGUGCCAGCAGCCGCGGUAACACGGGGGUUGCAAGCGUUGUCCGGAAUUACUAGGCGUAAAGGGCAGGUAGGCGGAUAGAUAAGUUUUUUGUCAAAGGCGACGGCUCACCCGUCGUAAGGCAGGAGAUACUGUUUAUCUGGAAUGCGGUUGGGGAAGACAGAAUUCCUGGUGUAGCGGUGGAAUGCGCAGAGAUCAGGAGGAAUACCGAAGGCGAAGGCAGUCUUCUAAGCCGUUAUUGACGCUAAACUGCGAAGGUGUGGGUAUCAAACAGGAUUAGAUACCCCGGUAGUC